UUGAAUUGAAGAGUUUGAUCAUGGCUCAGAUUGAACGCUGGCGGCAGGCUUAACACAUGCAAGUCGAACGGUAACAUAAAGAAGCUUGCUUCUUUGAUGACGAGUGGCGGACGGGUGAGUAAUGCUUGGGAAUCUAGCUUAUGGAGGGGGAUAACUACGGGAAACUGUAGCUAAUACCGCGUAAUAUCGAGAGAUUAAAGUGUGGGACCUUCGGGCCACAUGCCAUAGGAU
Molecule: ribosomal RNA, 231 nt
Filed under: Haemophilus sp.
Lineage: Bacteria; Pseudomonadati; Pseudomonadota; Gammaproteobacteria; Pasteurellales; Pasteurellaceae
Description: partial 16S ribosomal RNA
Rfam family: Bacterial small subunit ribosomal RNA
Source: RNAcentral